RNAcentral lists this ribosomal RNA (253 nucleotides) under uncultured bacterium. RNAcentral's name for it is "partial 16S ribosomal RNA". It matches the Rfam family "Bacterial small subunit ribosomal RNA", at positions 524 to 776 of the family's 1533-position model. The record is from RNAcentral.
UACGUAGGUGGCAAGCGAUACUCGGAAUCACUAGGCGUAAAGCGCAUGUAGGCGGUUCGGUAAGUCUUUUGUGAAAGCUCCCGGCUUAACUGGGAGAGGCCAAGGGAAACUGCCGAGCUAGAGUGUGGUAGGGGAUACUGGAAUUCCUGGUGUAGCGGUGAAAUGCGUAGAUAUCAGGAGGAAUACCGAUGGCGAAAGCAGGUAUCUGGGCCAUCACUGACGCUGAGCUGCGAAAGCUAGGGGAGCAAACAGG